AAAUUAUAUCAUUUAUGAAGAUGGUGUUGUGUUCAGCAUGGCUGAGGUUAUGGGGCAAGUGAUGUUGCUUUUCCACAAUUUCAGCCUUUGCACGUUGACGGAAGCAAUCUAUGUAGAAAUCCAGUCUGUCCACGCAGAAUCAGUCCACGCAGAAUCCUUUUUUUGUAGUGCUGGUAGUGGGGAUUCUGUGGAUUAGUAUGCUGUUCAGAGGUAUGUUGGAAAUAUUCUUUGANNNNNNNNNNNNNNNNNNNNGGUUAAGGGAAUUACUGUUAUGGCUCCUUGUGGCAUGUAGCAGUUUAGAUAGUUUAGUGUCCUUUUUCCUUUGUAGGAAACUACAAUCCAUCGGUGAUCUUCCAGAAAACACCAUCCUGGCCACUAUGGACGUAGAAGCCCUCUACACCAAUAUUCCGCACAAAGAUGGACUAAAAGCUAUCAGGAACAGUAUCCCCGAUAAUGUUACAGCUAACCUGGUGGCUGAACUUUGUGACUUUGUCCUCACCCACAACUAUUUCACAUUUGGGGACAAUAUAUACCUUCAAGUCAGCAGCACUGCUAUGGGUACCCGCAUGGCCCCACAGUAUGCCAACAUUUUUAUGGCUGACUUAGAACAAUGCUUCCUUAGCUCUCGUCCCCUAACGCCCCUACUCUACUUGCGCUACAUUGAUGACAUAUUCAUCAUCUGGACCCAUGGAAAAGAAGCCCUUGAGGAAUUCCACCAAGAUUUCAAUAAUUUCCAUCCCACCAUCAACCUCAGCCUAGAUCAAUCCACACAAGCGGUCCAUUUCCUGGACACUACUGUGCUAAUAAGCAAUGGUCACAUAAAUACCACCCUAUACCGGAAACCUACUGACCGCUACACUUACCUACAUGCCUCCAGCUUCCAUCCAGGUCACACCACACGAUCCAUUGUCUACAGCCAAGCUCUAAGAUAUGACCGCAUUUGCUCCAAUCCCUCAGAUAGAGGCAAGCACCUACAAGAUCUCUAUCAAGCAUUCUUAAAACUACAAUACCCACCUGCUGAAGUGAAAAAACAGAUUGACAGAGCCAGACGAGUACCCAGAAGUCACCUCCUACAAGACAAGGCCCAACAAAGAAAAUAACAGAACACCACUAGCUGUCACCUUCAGCCCCCAACUAAAACCUCUCCAGCGCAUCAUCAGNNNNNNNNNNNNNNNNNNNNNNNNNNNNNN
Molecule: long non-coding RNA, 1190 nt
Filed under: Chrysemys picta bellii (western painted turtle)
Lineage: Eukaryota; Metazoa; Chordata; Testudines; Emydidae
Description: lncRNA (ENSCPBG00000017478.1)
Source: RNAcentral